AGAGUUUGAUCCUGGCUCAGGAUGAACGCUGGCGGCGUGCCUAACACAUGCAAGUCGAGCGGGGACUUCGGUCCUAGCGGCGGACGGGUGAGUAACGCGUGGGUAACCUGCCCUAUACACAUGGAUAACAUACCGAAAGGUAUGCUAAUACAAGAUAAAACAUUGAUAAGGCAUCUUAUUAAUGUCAAAGCUUUUGCGGUAUAGGAUGGACCCGCGUCCCAUUAGUUAGUUGGUGAGGUAACGGCUCACCAAGACCACGAUGGGUAGCCGACCUGAGAGGGUGAUCGGCCACACUGGAACUGAGACACGGUCCAGACUCCUACGGGAGGCAGCAGUGGGGAAUAUUGCACAAUGGGCGCAAGCCUGAUGCAGCAACGCCGCGUGAGCGAUGAAGGCCUUCGGGUCGUAAAGCUCUGUCCUCAAGGAAGAAAAAAAUGACGGUACCAUAGGAGGAAGCCACGGCUAACUACGUGCCAGCAGCCGCGGUAAUACGUAGGUGGCAAGCGUUGUCCGGAAUUAUUGGGCGUAAAGGAUGUUAGGUGGCUGAUCAAGCCAGGGGUGAAAGGCAUUGGCUUAACCAAUGUAAGCCUUUGGAACUGUUGGGCUUGAGUGCAGGAGAGGUAAGUGGAAUUCCUAGUGUAGAGGUGAAAUUCGUAGAUAUUAGGAGGAACACCAGUGGCGAAGGCGGUUGCCUGGCCUGUAACUGACGCUGAGGCACGAAAGCGUGGGGAGCAAACAGGAUUAGAUACCCUGGUAGUCCACGCCGUAAACGAUGAGUACUAGGUGUCGCGGGUAUUGACCCCUGCGGUGCCGCAGCUAACGCAUUAAGUUCCCCGCCUGGGGAGUACGGCCGCAAGGCUAAGGAAUUGACAGGGGCCCGCACAAGCAGCGGAGCAUGUGGUUUAAUUCGAAGCAACGCGAAGAACCUUACCAGAACUUGACAUCGUCUGAAUUACUCUUAAUCGAGGAAGCCUUUCGGGGCAGAUAGACAGGUGGUGCAUGGUUGUCGUCAGCUCGUGUCGUGAGAUGUUGGGUUAAGUCCCGCAACGAGCGCAACCCUUAUUGCUAGUUGCCAUCAUUAAGUUGGGCACUCUAGUGAGACUGCCGGAGACAAUUCGGAGGAAGGUGGGGAUGACGUCAAAUCAUCAUGCCCCUUAUGUUCUGGGCUACACACGUGCUACAACGGGUGUAACAACGGGAAGCAAGGCCGCGAGGUGGAGCCAAUCCCUGAAAGCCGUUCUCAGUUCGGAUUGCAGGCUGCAACUCGCCUGCAUGAAGUCGGAAUCGCUAGUAAUCGCAGGUCAGCAUACUGCGGUGAAUACGUUCCCGGGUCUUGUACACACCGCCCGUCACACCACGAGAGUU
Molecule: ribosomal RNA, 1365 nt
Filed under: uncultured bacterium
Lineage: Bacteria
Description: partial 16S ribosomal RNA
Rfam family: Bacterial small subunit ribosomal RNA
Source: RNAcentral